Molecule: long non-coding RNA, 917 nt
Organism: Homo sapiens (human)
Lineage: Eukaryota; Metazoa; Chordata; Mammalia; Primates; Hominidae
Exons: 3
Source: RefSeq, a predicted model, not a curated record
CCAGAAUGACCUUAAAUUCUCACUGCCUAAAGAUUGGGCUGUCUGGGAGGGGCCCAACCACCUUGUCCCUGCAGGAGGAAAUUGGUUCCAGGAUUCCUGAGGAUAUCAGAAUCUGUGGCUGCUCAAGUCUCGUAUACAAAAUGAGAAUUUGUAAUCAACUGCUGAAGCAUUUAUAUGGUCCUAUUUAGAACAUCCUGGGAUGCUCCUACUAUGUGGGAUCUUUUGGAGAAAAAAAUCCAUACCUGAGCAAGUGGAGAGAAGGGACCAGAUUCAGAGGAUACCCAUAAAAUGAUCUGCAAGGGAAAACAAGUUUCUGACCAAGCACGGUUACAACCACAUCUUCCUGGGACAAAUGAGGACAUGUAUCAAUUCCUCACCAACCUUCCAUACACCCCAGGCUUACCUAGGAACUGCCUUCAGCACACCAUGUCUACCAGAGUGGCGGUAUAUAAUCACUAUUCAACUCCACAGCCAGAGAGAGGUGCAGAAGCCAUCACAGGAAAUGACUAGAUGCCCCUGAGCUCUCUGUUGCUGCUGCCGUGCGGGUGACUGGGAAUCACAUAGUUAACUAAAAGCUUUUACUCAGCUUAAUUUCCUCUACUCUACAUGAUAAUUGCUCUGUUCAUUUUCGCUUUACCUUUAAAUUCAGGGCACAUGCACAAAGACAUAAUGGUGUAAGAGUGGAAAAGAGAAGAUGUAUUUUCUAAGCUGCCUGCAGUCUGACAAUUGUUUGAAUGUGUGUGUACAUUUAACAAGAUGGUAGAUUACAGCAUUACCUUAUCUUCAGGGUAAAACUGCCAUUCAGGAUCCAAAAAUCUCCUAAUGGUUUAUUGAAAUGGUUCCCUCUUGCAAUGCAUCAUCACAGUAGUUUAUGAUAAGGAGAAAAGUAUGUUCUGAUACAAAUCAAAUAAUGCCAA